GCGAGAGAGUGCUGCUAUUAGGAUUCGAAUUAGACAUGCAAGUCAGGGAGUCAGCAAUGGCUACCGGCAUAAUGCUCAGUAACACGUCGAUAAUCUGCCCUAAAGUUGAGGAUAACGUUGGGAAACUGACGCUAAUACUCGAUAGGGGAUUUCUUCUGAAAGGAUUUAUCCCUUAAAGGUAACGCUUUAGGAUGAGCCGGCGGCGGAUUAGGCAGUUGGUGGGGUAAUGGCCCACCAAACCUAUGAUCCGUAGGGGCCUUGAGAGAGGUCGCCCCGAGAAGGGUACUGAGACACUGACCCUAGCCCCACGGGGUGCAGCAGUCACGAGAACUUUACAAUGCGCGAAAGCGUGAUAAGGGAAUCCUAAGUGCCUAUACAAUGUAUAGGCUUUUGCCGACAGUAAAUAUGUCGGAGAAUAAGUGGUGGGCAAGACUGGUGCCAGCAGCCGCGGUAACCCCAGCGCCACAAGUGGCAUUCACAUUUACUUGGUCUAAAGCGUCCGUAGCAGGUUUGAUAAAUCUUUUGUGAAAUCGUCGGGCUUAACUCGACGGCGUGCAGGGGACACUAUCAGACUUGGGACCGGGAGGAGUCAGAAGUAUUCUUUGGGGAGCGGUAAAAUGCUAUAAUCCAUUGAAGACUACCAGUGGCGAAGGCGUCUGACUAGAACGGAUCCGACUGUGAGGGACGAAAGCUAGGGGAGCGAUCCGGAUUAGAUACCCGAGUAGUCCUAGCCGUAAACGCUGUGAGUUAGGUGUUGCAUAAUCUAUAGGAUUGUGCAGUGUCGAAGCGAAGGUGUUAAACUCACCACCUGGGAAGUACGGCCGCAAGACUGAAACUUAAAGGAAUUGGCGGGGGAGCACCACAAGGGGUGCGGCGUGCGGUUUAAUCUAACUCAACACAGAGAAUCUCACCAGGGGCGACGGCAGGAAGAAGGUCAGUCUAAAGGGCUUACCUGACGAGCCGAGAGGUAGUGCAUGGCCGUCGUCAGCUCGUGCCGUAAGGUGUCUUGUUAAGUCAAGCAACGAGCGAGACCCAUACUCACAAUUGCUAACAGGCAGGCUUCUGCGACUGAGCACAUUGUGAGGACUGCUUUGGAAACAAAGAGGAAGGUGUGGGCCACGGUAGGUCUGUAUGCUCCGAAUCCACUGGGCUACACGCGCGCAACAAUGGUAUGGACAAUGGGAUACAACCCCGAAAGGGGAAGUCAAACCUCUAAACCAUAUCUUAGUCCGAAUCGAGGGCUGAAACUCGCCCUCGUGACGUUGGAAUCCCUAGUAAUCAGAAGUCAUCAGCUUCUGGUGAAUAUGUCCCUGCUCCUUGCACACACCGCCCGUCAAACCAACCGAGCAGGGUUUAGGUGAGGCCGGGUUUAUUGAUCCUGUCGGAUCUAAGCUCAGUGAGGUGGGUUAAGUCGUCACAAGGUA
This 1424-nucleotide ribosomal RNA is filed under the name metagenome. RNAcentral describes it as "bacterial SSU rRNA". It matches the Rfam family "Archaeal small subunit ribosomal RNA". The record is from RNAcentral.